GACGGGUGAGUAACGCGUGGGAACGUACCUUUUGGUUCGGAACAACACAGGGAAACUUGUGCUAAUACCGGAUAAGCCCUUACGGGGAAAGAUUUAUCGCCGAAAGAUCGGCCCGCGUCUGAUUAGCUAGUUGGUGAGGUAAUGGCUCACCAAGGCGACGAUCAGUAGCUGGUCUGAGAGGAUGAUCAGCCACAUUGGGACUGAGACACGGCCCAAACUCCUACGGGAGGCAGCAGUGGGGAAUAUUGGACAAUGGGGGCAACCCUGAUCCAGCCAUGCCGCGUGAGUGAUGAAGGCCCUAGGGUUGUAAAGCUCUUUUGUGCGGGAAGAUAAUGACGGUACCGCAAGAAUAAGCCCCGGCUAACUUCGUGCCAGCAGCCGCGGUAAUACGAAGGGGGCUAGCGUUGCUCGGAAUCACUGGGCGUAAAGGGUGCGUAGGCGGGUCUUUAAGUCAGGGGUGAAAUCCUGGAGCUCAACUCCAGAACUGCCUUUGAUACUGAGGAUCUUGAGUUCGGGAGAGGUGAGUGGAACUGCGAGUGUAGAGGUGAAAUUCGUAGAUAUUCGCAAGAACACCAGUGGCGAAGGCGGCUCACUGGCCCGAUACUGACGCUGAGGCACGAAAGCGUGGGGAGCAAACAGGAUUAGAUACCCUGGUAGUCCACGCCGUAAACGAUGAAUGCCAGCCGUUAGUGGGUUUACUCACUAGUGGCGCAGCUAACGCUUUAAGCAUUCCGCCUGGGGAGUACGGUCGCAAGAUUAAAACUCAAGGAAUUGACGGGGGCCCGCACAAGCGGUGGAGCAUGUGGUUUAAUUCGACGCAACGCGCAGAACCUUACCAGCCCUUGACAUGUCCAGGACCGGUCGCAGAGAUGUGACCUUCUCUUCGGAGCCUGGAGCACAGGUGCUGCAUGCUGUCGUCAGCUCGUGUCGUGAGAUGUUGGGUUAAGUCCCGCAACGAGCGCAACCCCCGUCCUUAGUUGCUACCAUUUAGUUGAGCACUCUAAGGAGACUGCCGGUGAUAAGCCGCGAGGAAGGUGGGGAUGACGUCAAGUCCUCAUGGCCCUUACGGGCUGGGCUACACACGUGCUACAAUGGCGGUGACAAUGGGAUGCUAAGGGGCGACCCUUCGCAAAUCUCAAAAAGCCGUCUCAGUUCGGAUUGGGCUCUGCAACUCGAGCCCAUGAAGUUGGAAUCGCUAGUAAUCGUGGAUCAGCACGCCACGGUGAAUACGUUCCCGGGCCUUGUACACACCGCCCGUCACACCAUGGGAGUUGGUUUUACCUGAAGACGGUGCGCUAACCCGCUAGGUAGGCAGCCGGC
RNAcentral lists this ribosomal RNA (1320 nucleotides) under Bradyrhizobium sp. RNAcentral's name for it is "bacterial SSU rRNA". It matches the Rfam family "Bacterial small subunit ribosomal RNA", at positions 100 to 1457 of the family's 1533-position model. RNAcentral also lists the same sequence under 1 other name. Lineage: Bacteria; Pseudomonadati; Pseudomonadota; Alphaproteobacteria; Hyphomicrobiales; Nitrobacteraceae. The record is from RNAcentral.